ACGACCAAAGGUAGUGGAAAAUACGGGAUCCCGUCCGCUCUCCCAUAGUCAAGCCACUAACCGGCGGAUUAGUAGUUGGGUCGGUGACGACCA
RNAcentral lists this ribosomal RNA (93 nucleotides) under Fusarium pseudograminearum CS3096. Lineage: Eukaryota; Fungi; Ascomycota; Sordariomycetes; Hypocreales; Nectriaceae. The record is from RNAcentral.